Long non-coding RNA from Cotesia glomerata, 1182 nucleotides. RefSeq lists it as uncharacterized. NCBI's taxonomy places the organism in Eukaryota, Metazoa, Arthropoda, Insecta, Hymenoptera, Braconidae. The record is from RefSeq and is a predicted model, not a curated record. The transcript has 3 exons.
AGAAAAUGAAGACCCGGAUAUUGUUAUUUUGAAGAUUCAUGUUCUGGUCUUUAAAACUCAUAAGUAUGGAGAAGGUUCCGCGUGAUGUGAAACUAAGGUUUUCGAAAAAUUUAUUAAAUCGACAAAUGAAGAUCCAGAGACAAGGGAUAAAAAUUAAGAAAUUUAUGAAGUUUAAGAGGUCCAAGUAUCUGCGAAGAGUUGAGAAGAAGAACAAUCUGGAUAAAAACAGAAGAAACGACUGAGAAAGUAACCGACGAAUCAAUUUAAAAUCCAGAGAGUUCAUCAGAAAAUAUGUCUGCUGAGAAUGUAGACCAGUGGAUGAAUGUGGUUAAAGUAAUCAUAACAAUCAUUUGCGAUCAUUUAACUGUGAAUAUUUGAGCUCAGAAUGUUUAGAUAAUGUUUCAGAGUUAAUAAUGUUCUAACUGCCCUCAUAACACUUUCAGUAAGAAUUGAAGCUUCAGAUGAAACAGUUGGUCAUGUAAAAAUGCAGUUAGCUUCAGAAACAAUUUUUUGUGGCGCUGAAAAAUGAGCAAAAGCUACUAAAUUUUUACUAUUUCCUAAUCCCAAUAUUACCGUACUUAAUCAUGAUUGUGUUCUCGGUUUAAUUGAAUUGAUAAUGACAUCUUAAUUCGCUUUAUCGUUUCAAGUUUUGGAGAGGUUGAAAUAACAUGUGAAUUAAAUCAAAUUACCAAUGCUUAAUACAGAACGGAUAAUUCUGACAAAAUGUUAGUAACUUUGACUAAAAAAUUAUCGUUAAUAUCAGUAUUAAUAUAUCGGUUACAGUACCAAUAUUAUUUUUUUAUCCUUUAAAAGUGAAAUUUUAAUCUUUUUUUUUUUUCUUAUUUUUGUAAUUCAGGAUAGACAUAAGUACAUUGCUAUUUUAUAAAAUAUUUAACGAAAUAAUAAAUUUAGAAUUCUAUCACAUUAUAAUAAUAUUUAACAUUUGUUUUGUAUUGUAUUGGUAUUUUUUAUUUCUUAUUUUUAUGAAGAAAAUUAGUUUACAUACGAGUCACGUAUCGGAAAAAGUGAGUAAUAUGAUACAAAAUCUCACAGAAGGCAACCAUGACGCUGAUCUAGACGCAUGCUGGAGGCACUGGUUCAGAAGCCCUCCAAUAAGAGAAAUUUGUAUCCUGUUAAUAUAUUUUCAGCAAUCAUGUAGAACCCAGCUAAUAAAUUACUAUA